CAUUAUCCUUGUUUAUAUUCUGUUAGGGUUAUGCUACCUCCAAAAUUGUUAAGUCCUUGUUCCAAGUGAUUUCUGUCAGGCAUACAUAUGAUGUUCUUUUAUGAUUACCAGUUUAUUAAAGUUUUUUAACCCUUGAGCCAAUUUUUUAAAAUUUAUAUUUUCCUUAAAAAUAUUUCACAUCCUAUGUCGUGGCUUAGGGGUUAACAAUCUCGACUAGUAUCCAUGAGGACAUGGGUUCGAUCCGUGGCCUGGAUCAGUGGGUUAAGGAUCUGGUGUUGCUGUGAGCUAUGGUGUAGGUCAAAGAUGUGGCUUGGAUCCUGCAUUGCUGUGGCUCUGGCACAGGCCGGUGGCUACAGCUCCAACUGGACCCCUAGCCUGGGAACCUCUGUAUGCAGGGGUGUGGCCCUAGAAAUGACAAAAAAAAAAUUGUCCAAGUCAAUUUUCAAGAUUAUUAGUAUAAAAUUACACUAAAUAAUUCACUUCUAUUUUCAAAGUCUCUCAUAUCUGUAAUAUAUUCCCUUUAUUUCCAAUAUUUUCUCUCUUCAGAUUUGCUAUUUAUCUUUCUUUUCAAACACCAAUUACUAUUAUGAUCAAUUUUAUUUUCUAUGUCAUUACCUUCUACUUUUAAGUUCUCUUUAAGUUAAUUUUGGGCGAUUUUUUUCUGCUUCUCUGUGUCUAUUUCCUUUUCUGAUCUUGCCUAUCAAAAGUGUAUCCUUUAAGAAUGUGCUGCCUUAUUACCUCAGGGUGUUUACCCAUAAAACAAAGCAAAAAAAAAAAAAAAAAAAAAAAUAGAGCCUUUACGUUAUUAUCUAAAUUAAGCUUAUUUGCACAUUAGUUAGCACAGAAACAGGCCCAUAUUCGUAACCCAAGAGACAUCUGAUUAAGACAAAGGGCCUCAGUUACCCAGUUUUUAAAAAUGAGGGAACUGGGCUGACUAAUCCCAAAUUCCCUUCCAAAUGAAAAAUUUUACUUCAAUCAGUGCAUCCUGCAGACAAUCAACCCACCCAUUCACCCACACAAUAAUUAGUAAGCCCUUCCCUUGAACUAAGUAUUCUAGAUGUUAGGAAUGCCACGAUGAAUACAAACAUAGUUCCUACCUUCCAGAAGGACAGAAGGGGAUGUAGGUGUGAGGAUCAGCUGUUAAAUAGGUAACUACAAUGCAAAGUGGUAAGUGGUCUAACAAAGGCUGUGGGAAUUCAGAGACGGAGGAGUAUGUACAACAAAACUCCAAGAACUAGGAUGGGGAAGUUCCCUUGUAGUGCAGCCGGUUAAGGAUCUGCUGUUGCCCCAACUGUGGUGUGGGUUUGAUCCCUGGCUGGGGAACUUCCACAUGCCAUUGGUAUGCCCCUCCCACAAAAGGUCUAGUUGGAAACCUAAUUUAGGGACUUACUACUUAGUAGCUGUGUAUGAUCAGGCAAUUAACUUUGGUGCAUCUAUCUGUAGAAAUGAACAGUAAUACUAUCCAGGUAGUUUAUGUUAAAGAUUAGACAAGAAAACACAAAGCAUUUGCCAGACUCAGGAACGCAACAAAUGGAAACUAUUGUUAUAAAAGGCUAAAGAACGGUAUUUGCCGUACUUCAAGAAAGGAAAGGCAGGGGUCAAGGGAAUUUCCCAAAUGUGUUCACAAAACAAAAUUUGUCGGAAGGCAGUAAGGAUGGGAAAAAACAGGGUGAGAGAAGAAUCAAGGUGGGUGAUGCUCUUGGAGGGCAGAGAAUUCUAAUUUCUCUAAUUUCAAUUGCUAGCGCAAAACCUGACCCAUAUACUUGCUAUAAACAUCAAUGGAAGAACAUACCUUAAGCAACAGGGUUGGAGAAAACAAUCUGGGCCAAACUGCUGAAAGUAAACAUUUUAUAGUGAAAGGAACCUUGGAAUCACGACACCUGGUGCGGUCUUUCGACCAAUGACCGGUGUUUUAUACUGGCUUUACAACUUACCUGCUGUUCAGCCUUAGCAAAUUACUGAUACCUUGAAUCUCCUCACCUGUAAAAUGGAGAUUACACCUACCUUACAAAAUUAGUGUGAGAAUUGGUACCAAGCGAUUAUCAACGAGCCUGGCAGUAGUAAAACCCAAUAAUGUUAGCGCUGCAGCUGCUAACUUCUCCUUUAGAGCUGUUUUCCAUACUUAUGAAAUGAAAGGGUAAAGACACAUUUUCUCCAAUGCUCCAACCAGCACUAGAUUUGCGAAGGACGAAAGGCCCCGCCCGGCCAGCGGCACACACACUCAGGUCACCUACGCCGACUGCAGUCCUGAAGCCUCCACCUGCGUCGCCGAGCCAUGGCGGGCCCAGCGGAUGCCUGGCCAUUACACAGAUAGGGUCUAGACAGAACGGGGGUGAAACUGAGUGGAAUUUCACCAAACACGAAUCCACACCACCAUCUCUAGAGGCGAAGCCCCGGAAUAAAAAGGGGAGGGAGCUAAAGCGGAGAAAGCGC
Molecule: long non-coding RNA, 2433 nt
Filed under: Sus scrofa (pig)
Lineage: Eukaryota; Metazoa; Chordata; Mammalia; Artiodactyla; Suidae
Description: lncRNA (ENSSSCG00030014938.1)
Source: RNAcentral